CAUGCACAGCCUAUGCAUCUGCAUGAUCCAUUGAACCCUGCGACCUGCGUGCAGAUAAGCUGCCACAUAGGGUAUAUAUCAACUCCAGCUGAGACCACCGACGAAACUCGCGAAAACUAAAAAGGAAGUGAUCCAGACCACAGACCAGCAGACGGACAAUGAUGUACGCGAAAGGAUGGUGGCCAAGUACAACGAACUCACUUCUCCUUGACUAAUUGCGUGUGUCUGGACGAGCUAGCUAGAAAGCAGGGCCGGCAUCUCCGAAAUCACACGUGUCCUUAAUUCUGAAGUAGAGAAAUCACUUGAUCUGUAGUAGUGGAGUACUCGUCCUACCGCACCGAGUCUGUCUGUCGGCCGAGGAAUCGCCGGCGAGCCUACAGAGCACGAGGGAUUCAAGAAUCCAAGAAUAGCGCGAGACCCUGGAAUCCAAGUUGCGGAUUUUUUGCCGCCGCGAGGCCAACGUACUACCAAGACGGAAAAGGGAACAACCAACGCCGCCCCGAUCGACGCAAGACGUCCAACCGAGAGCCUCCUGCUAUGCGCACCGGCGAAGAAGAAGGAGGUAGAGGGGCCAACGAAGACCGCGGCAGAGGGGACAACACCGCUGCCCCUUGCGGGGAGUCCCAGGGAGGAGCGUCCUGCUCUUUUAGCAUAUCCUCACCGCCACGCGGCGGCGAGACCAGCACCGAUGCCAUCUUCACCGGCGAGAACGCCACAACACCGGCUGACGUAUGAAGACACUGUGGCGAAACCUCCUCUACUUCAGGCGGCACCUACAUGGGUCACCACAGACUUCAAAGUAUUGCAAGCUUAGCACGGUUGUGUAAAUAUUUAUAAACAAACAACCAUAUCAUUUCAUAACAAUACAUCGUUUAUGUUGUAAGAAAAUAACAAUUUACCUCGUGCAAAGGCAAAUAAAACACUUCACGAUCAUAUGUAGCCGAAGGAACAGCCAGGAUAUAAAGCCACGUAAC
This is a long non-coding RNA of Brachypodium distachyon (stiff brome), 974 nucleotides long. RefSeq lists it as uncharacterized. The transcript has 2 exons. The record is from RefSeq and is a predicted model, not a curated record. Lineage: Eukaryota; Viridiplantae; Streptophyta; Magnoliopsida; Poales; Poaceae.